GACGAACGCUGGCGGCGUGCUUAACACAUGCAAGUCGAACGCUGAAGCUCAGCUUUUGUUGGGUGGAUGAGUGGCGAACGGGUGAGUAACACGUGAGUAACCUGCCCCCUUCUUUGGGAUAACGCCCGGAAACGGGUGCUAAUACUGGAUAUUCACUGGUCUUCGCAUGGGGGUUGGUGGAAAGGGUUUUUCUGGUGGGGGAUGGGCUCGCGGCCUAUCAGCUUGUUGGUGGGGUGAUGGCCUACCAAGGCUUUGACGGGUAGCCGGCCUGGGAGGGUGACCGGUCACAUUGGGACUGAGAUACGGCCCAGACUCCUACGGGAGGCAGCAGUGGAGAAUAUUGAACAAUGGGCGAAAGCCUGAUGCAGCGACGCGGCGUGAGGGAUGGAGGCCUUCGGGUUGUGAACCUCUUUCGCUCAUGGUCAAGCCGCAACAAUGGUUGUGGUGAGGGUAGUGGGUAAAGAAGCGCCGGCUAACUACGUG
Molecule: ribosomal RNA, 483 nt
Filed under: uncultured bacterium
Lineage: Bacteria
Description: partial 16S ribosomal RNA
Rfam family: Bacterial small subunit ribosomal RNA
Source: RNAcentral